Molecule: ribosomal RNA, 481 nt
Filed under: Idiomarina sp. 'Disko Bay 210'
Lineage: Bacteria; Pseudomonadati; Pseudomonadota; Gammaproteobacteria; Alteromonadales; Idiomarinaceae
Description: bacterial SSU rRNA
Rfam family: Bacterial small subunit ribosomal RNA
Source: RNAcentral
GCUCAGAUUGAACGCUGGCGGCAGGCCUAACACAUGCAAGUCGAGCGGUAACAGAGAGAAGCUUGCUUCUCUGCUGACGAGCGGCGGACGGGUGAGUAAUACUUGGGAAUUUGCCUUUAGGCGGGGGACAACCACGGGAAACUGUGGCUAAUACCGCAUAAUGUCUAUCGGACCAAAGUGGGGGACCUUCGGGCCUCACACCUAAAGAUGAGCCCAAGCGGGAUUAGCUAGUUGGUGGGGUAAAGGCUCACCAAGGCGACGAUCCCUAGCUGUUCUGAGAGGAUGAUCAGCCACACUGGGACUGAGACACGGCCCAGACUCCUACGGGAGGCAGCAGUGGGGAAUAUUGCACAAUGGGGGAAACCCUGAUGCAGCCAUGCCGCGUGUGUGAAGAAGGCCUUCGGGUUGUAAAGCACUUUCAGCGACGAGGAAGGGUGUUGUGUUAAUAGCGCAGCACAUUGACGUUAGUCGCAGAAGAAGC